This 141-nucleotide ribosomal RNA is filed under the name uncultured bacterium. RNAcentral's name for it is "partial 16S rRNA". It matches the Rfam family "Bacterial small subunit ribosomal RNA", at positions 355 to 511 of the family's 1533-position model. The record is from RNAcentral.
UGGGGAAUUUUCCGCAAUGGGCGAAAGCCUGACGGAGCAAUGCCGCGUGGAGGUGGAAGGCCUACGGGUCGUCAACUUCUUUUCUCGGAGAAGAAACAAUGACGGUAUCUGAGGAAUAAGCAUCGGCUAACUACGUGCCAA